RNAcentral lists this unclassified non-coding RNA (2472 nucleotides) under Hevea brasiliensis (rubber tree). The record is from RNAcentral. Lineage: Eukaryota; Viridiplantae; Streptophyta; Magnoliopsida; Malpighiales; Euphorbiaceae.
GGGGCAAGCGUUGCUCCGCUACCCAUCCACUGUUCGUUAACGGUGGACAAAACGAAAAUGUUACAUAUGGCAGAAAUAAGCACAAGCAAAUUCAAAAGCCUGCGCAUAUAUAUUUAUUAGGCAGUGCAAAGCAAACCUUCAUCCAAGUACAUACACAUAAAUCUCUAUCUUUUUUAAAAUCCUUAUUUUACCAUCGCGCAAAAGGCCUGCCAAGGAAGCUUAUCUACAAUUUCUUUCAUACCAAACAAUAUGAAAGAAAGCUUCACACAAGGUGCAAGCUCCUUUUUAUCUAUCCAUAUGUACAAUCCUACGUUUCAUUUAUCUUCAUUUAAAACACCAGCACCUUCAUUCCUUCAAACACAACCUAUUUGCAGCAUGUUCCAUAUCCUUCUCCCCCCUGCCCCCACGUCAACUACUACUCAGGCCGGUAGCUCACCAGUUGAGAGAGGUAAGUUGACUGAAGCUUCUUAAUGUCAUUAGCUGUCACCUUGCAUGACUCCAAGGUCAAUGAUCUUAAAUUUUUCAGUGGCUUCAAAUGCUGCAACCCUGCACUGGUCACACGGGAAUUUGAGACGUUCAACGAGACCAAUCCUGUCAACCCAGAAAUCAAUUCCAAUGAUUUAUUUGUUAGAUUGCAGUUUUGUGACAAAUUUAGCAGCAACAGGGAUGAAAGAUCUUUAAUGUUCCUUACGCCAGCAUCAGUUAAUCCUCCACCACAUAUUUCCAAAGACUGAAGAUUUUUGAAAUUUCGCAAAUAGUUUGUUCCAGAAUCUGUAAUACGAGCUCCAAAAAGGUCCAGAUGGGUCAAUCCUGUCAAACUUGAUAGGGCUGCAAGUCCACUAUCAGUAAUUUGGCGGGCAUCAAGAUUAAGCGAUUUAAGAGAAGACAAUCCAGACAAUUUUCUUAUACCACCAUCUGUAAUCAUAGUGAAUGACAGAUUUAUACUCUCCAAAUUGGUCAAACCAGAUAGGUGGCGAAGCCCACUGCUUCCAACUUCAGUAUCUGACAACACUAAGCAUUUCAAACGAUGAAGGCCUGUUAUGUUAGCCAGACCCUCAUCAUCAAUUCUGCAAGAAUCCAAGUUCACGCUCUCCAAAUUUGUCAAGCCUUUCAGGUGCACCAAGCAUGCAUCCGUGAUGUCAUUGAAGCCCAAGUUUAGCGCCUUUAGUUUUCCGAGCUUCGAAAACCCCUCGCAUCCAUCAUCAGAAAUAUGGCAUCGGUUAAGAUUCAAAUACAACAAAGAAGUAAGAGCUGAGAUAGUCUCCAAGCAUGCAGCCGUGACUGGACACCCUUCCAAGUUUAAUAGAUUAAGCUUAUGCAGACCUUUCAAAUAAGAAAUACCCACAUCUGUAACCUUGCUGCAUGAAAUUUGUAAUCCUUUCAAGUUUGUCAACCCUGAAAGAUGCUUCAUAUCUGCAUCCUUUAUGCAGUUACACCAUUUGAUACUAAGAGACUCCAACUUUGUCAACCCUUUGAGAUGAACAAGUCCACCGCCAAUGCCAGGACACCUCUCCAAGUCCAAUUUCACCAAGUUAACUAAGCUAGCAAAGGCACUCAUGCCUUGUGCUGUAAUUGAAUUGUUUCUUCUAAAACUCAAACUUGUCAAGUUUGAGAGGCCACUAAUUUGAUUAAGCCCAAGGUCUGAAAUCUGGUCACAAUAAUUAAAAUUUAAGGCUUGAAGGUUUGUACAGCCUUUUAGAUGAAUCAAUCCAGAAUCAGUGACAUCUGAACCAGAAAGAUCCACAGAAAGUAAAGAUAUUCCUUGUGAAGAGAUUACAUCCAUCCAACUAUCAUUAACCCCAGGGCAUUCUCCCAAGUGAAGAUCCUGGAGAGCACAAUCUCGGAAAGCUUUAAGAGAAAUAUCAGUCAAACGUUGAGAAUACACUAAUUCAUUGAAGAUCUGCUGACUAAUGUCCCUUGGAAGCAUAGAAAAUGUACUAUAUUUAUCUAUGUCCUCACGUAUGUUUUGGAUGCACAAUUCCAUGAGGGAUGGACAUCUCUGAUUUCCCCGCUGCGGUUCACAAGCAGGCCUAGAAAAUGAAGUUGCUAACCACUUUGAGCUCGCACUUUUGCUAUAUCUUCUAGAAAUCCCAUUAUGAAAAUUAUCUACAUUGUCCAAUUGAUCUCUCUUCCUAGAACAAGCUCCCCCCAUUGAGGAAAUAUCCUUUAAUCAACUAUAUGUCAUAAAAACUGCAGCAGCACACUACCCUAACCAUCCAAUUACAAUUAUGCACUCUACUUCACCCUCAUGAUCGAUUACUGGAACCGAUUCUAUUUUUCUACGGAAUUCUCUGAUCACCGAAAACUAAAACACAGAAGAGAAAAGAGAGAGCGGAGAGUGGAGGAAACAUUGCAGAAUAGUGAAGCCGGAGUAAAAGAAUAGAAAAGGGCAAGGUGGCUGUGACCGAACCAGAGUCCCAGACCAUUCGAUGACAUACACGUGGAAUAGAGUCAGCGAGAAAGGAAAAAGGC